Molecule: ribosomal RNA, 253 nt
Filed under: uncultured bacterium
Lineage: Bacteria
Description: partial 16S ribosomal RNA
Rfam family: Bacterial small subunit ribosomal RNA
Source: RNAcentral
UACGUAGGGUGCGAGCGUUAAUCGGAAUUACUGGGCGUAAAGCGUGCGCAGGCGGUUUUGUAAGACCGAUGUGAAAUCCCCGGGCUUAACCUGGGAACUGCAUUGGUGACUGCAAGGCUGGAGUACGGCAGAGGGGGGUGGAAUUUUGCGUGUAGCAGUGAAAUGCGUAGAUAUGCAAAGGAACACCGAUGGCGAAGGCAGCCCCCUGGGCCUGUACUGACGCUCAUGCACGAAAGCGUGGGGAGCAAACAGG